AGAGUUUGAUCCUGGCUCAGGAUUAACGCUGGCGGCGUGCAUAACACAUGCAAGUCGAACGAUGAAGCUUAAUUGAUUCCUUCGGGAUGAAGCUAAGUGGAUUAGUGACGGACGGGUGAGUAACACGUGAGUAACCUGCCUUACACAAGGGGAUAGCCAUUGGAAACGAUGAAUAAUACCCUAUGAAGUAGCCUAAUCGCAUGGUUAAGCUACCAAGGUGCUUAGUGGUGUAAGAUGGACUUGCGUCUGAUUAGCUAGUUGGUGAGAUAAAAGCCCACCAAGGCAACGAUCAGUAGCCGGCUUGAGAGAGUGUACGGCCACAUUGGGACUGAGACACGGCCCAAACUCCUACGGGAGGCAGCAGUGGGGAAUUUUGCACAAUGGGGGAAACCCUGAUGCAGCGACGCCGCGUGAUUUAGAAAGUCUUCGGAUUGUAAAAAUCUUUUGUAUAGGAAGAAAAUGACAGUACUAUACGAAUAAGGUCCGGCUAAUUACGUGCCAGCAGCCGCGGUAAUACGUAAGGACCGAGCGUUGUCCGGAAUCAUUGGGCGUAAAGGGUACGUAAGCGGUCUAGUAAGUUAGAAGUGAAAGGCAAUAGCUCAACUAUUGUAAGCUUUUAAAACUGCUAGACUUGAGAGAUUGAAGGGAAAGUGGAAUUCCUAGUGUAGCGGUGAAAUGCGCAGAUAUUAGGAGGAAUACCAGUGGCGAAGGCGACUUUCUGGCAAUCAUCAGACGCUGAGGUACGAAAGCGUGGGUAGCAAACAGGAUUAGAUACCCUGGUAGU
This 784-nucleotide ribosomal RNA is filed under the name uncultured bacterium. RNAcentral describes it as "bacterial SSU rRNA". It matches the Rfam family "Bacterial small subunit ribosomal RNA", at positions 8 to 794 of the family's 1533-position model. The record is from RNAcentral.